This 255-nucleotide ribosomal RNA is filed under the name uncultured Pseudomonas sp. Its description in RNAcentral is "partial 16S ribosomal RNA". It matches the Rfam family "Bacterial small subunit ribosomal RNA", at positions 98 to 355 of the family's 1533-position model. The record is from RNAcentral. Lineage: Bacteria; Pseudomonadati; Pseudomonadota; Gammaproteobacteria; Pseudomonadales; Pseudomonadaceae.
CGGGACGGGUGAGUAAUGCCUAGGAAUCUGCCUGGUAGUGGAGGACAACGUUUCGAAAGGAACGCUAAUACCGCAUACGUCCUACGGGAGAAAGCAGGGGACCUUCGGGCCUUGCGCUAUCAGAUGAGCCUAGGUCGGAUUAGCUAGUUGGUGAGGUAAUGGCUCACCAAGGCGACGAUCCGUAACUGGUCUGAGAGGAUGAUCAGUCACACUGGAACUGAGACACGGUCCAGACUCCUACGGGAGGCAGCAGCU